This 531-nucleotide ribosomal RNA is filed under the name uncultured bacterium. Its description in RNAcentral is "bacterial SSU rRNA". It matches the Rfam family "Bacterial small subunit ribosomal RNA", at positions 363 to 911 of the family's 1533-position model. The record is from RNAcentral.
UUUGCGCAUGAGCGAAAGCUAGNGCAGCAACGCCGCGUGGACGAUGAAGGCCUUCGGGUCGUAAAGUCCUUUUCAGGGGGACGAGAGAGGACGGUACCCCUGGAAUAAGUCACGGCUAACUACGUGCCAGCAGCCGCGGUAAAACGUAGGUGGCAAGCGUUAUCCGGAUUCACUGGGCGUAAAGCGCCUGCAGGCGGUCUCGUAAGUGGGACGUGAAAUCUCUUGGCUCAACUGAGAGGAGCCGUUCCAUACUGCGGGACUAGAGGGCAGAAGAGGGAAGCGGAAUUCCCGGUGUAGUGGUGAAAUGCGUAGAUAUCGGGAGGAACACCAGUGGCGAAGGCGGCUUCCUGGCCUGCUCCUGACGCUAAGAGGCGAAAGCUAGGGGAGCGAACGGGAUUAGAAACCCCGGUAGUCCUAGCCGUAAACGAUGGAUACUAGGUGUCGGUGGUCCUAACCCCAUCGGUGCCGAAGCUAACGCGUUAAGUAUCCCGCCUGGGGACUACGGCCGCAAGGUUAAAACUCAAAGAAAUA